GACGAACGCUGGCGGCGUGCUUAACACAUGCAAGUCGAACGGAAAGGCCCUGCUUUUGUGGUGUGCUCGAGUGGCGAACGGGUGAGUAACACGUGAGUAACCUUCCCUUUACUUUUGGAUAACUUCAGGAAACUGGGGCUAAUACCGGAUAGGAGCACCUGCUGCAUGGUGGGGGUUGGAAAGUUUCGGCGGUAGGGGAUGGACGCGCGGCUUAUCAGCUUGUUGGUGGGGUAGUGGCUUACCAAGGCUGUGACGGGUAGCCGGCCUGAGAGGGUGACCGGCCACAAUGGGACUGAGAUACGGCCCAGACUGCAACGGGAGGCAGCAGUGGGGAAUAUUGCACAAUGGGCGCAAGCCUGAUGCAGCAACGCCGCGUGCGGGAUGACGGCCUUCGAGUUGUAAACCGCUUUCGACUGUGACGAAGCGUGAGUGACGGUAAUGGGUAAAGAAGCACCGGCUAACUACGUG
This 468-nucleotide ribosomal RNA is filed under the name uncultured bacterium. RNAcentral describes it as "partial 16S ribosomal RNA". It matches the Rfam family "Bacterial small subunit ribosomal RNA", at positions 28 to 507 of the family's 1533-position model. The record is from RNAcentral.